RNAcentral lists this long non-coding RNA (1649 nucleotides) under Monodelphis domestica (gray short-tailed opossum). RNAcentral's name for it is "lncRNA (ENSMODG00000036323.2)". The record is from RNAcentral. Lineage: Eukaryota; Metazoa; Chordata; Mammalia; Didelphimorphia; Didelphidae.
AAAAAAGAAAAAAAAGUUUUUGGAAAAAAAAAAACUUUUGUUCAUUCCUUCAUUUAUUCCUUUAUUCAUAUAAAAGAUAUAAUAAUCUGCUUUCCAAAUUGCAUAUUUCCUACUUGAGUAUAGAAACAAUAUAUGUGUAUUUUAUAUCCUUAUUUUCCAUCUUAGAAUCAAUAAUAGUUCCAAGGCAGAAGAGCAGUAAGGGUUAGGCAAUGGGGGAUGUAAUGGGGGGGGGGGUUAUGUAGGGAGAGAGGAGAGGGAGAGAAUGGAGUCUUCCCUCCCUCAAGUCAGAAUCAAGGGAGGAGGAGUUCAUGUUGGUUUUUGGACCAAGAGGUAGAAAGAGGGCUGCUACUCUCCUGUGCCUAUGAAGCAACUGAAGCAACAGACUAUAUGUGGAAUUUGUGCUUGGAUUCUGAGUCAACAUGAAGCAUAUCUAGAAUGCCACUGCUUAUCUUGAAAGGAAGGAAACAGUCAUUUUGUUCCAGACAUAUUCAAAUACAAACAGUUGAAAGAAUGAUAAUUUUUUUUAAAAAGCCUUCAUUGUGCCAGUUUGAAUCAUUUGAUACUUUUAUUUGGUUGAAACUCUAUCUCUUUGAAAAUGUCCUCAUCUCUGCUUAGAAAAGAAAACACCUACUAACAGCCUAAAGGAAUUACGAAAUAAUCAUCAAACUCCAGUGGCAAGACAAAAGUCAGGAUGACUCACGAUGGCCCAGAAUGGAGCGGAUGACCCUGGUGUUUUCAAUAUCUGACCAAGCUCAACGUCUCUAUAGUAUCUGCUUCAGCCAAUUUCAUGGCUGUUGAAACAAUUGUUAUUAUCUGCCCAUUCCCCCUGCAGAAAUCUUCACAUGUUUGGGGUAGACACCCCUUAACUCACUAACAGUUUUGAGGACUGUGGUUUGCCCUAAACUUGGUUUAGUCAGCCUUUUGAGAAGAUUUUUAAUCAGGGUAUUGCCUCUGUGCAUUGUAUAGCUUCUUGAAACCACAGGUGAGAGUUGAAUACCAGAUAGAACCUAAAGUUGAGUGCCAGGUGGAUACCAAAGCCCUGAAAAGGGCUCAGAAAACCUCCACACCAGAGAUGUUAGUCCUCUUUGAACAUCUCAAGAACAAAGAGGAUGGAAAUUAGGUGCAUAUCUUACCCUGAGCUCUCCUUGAACUAAGGAUCUUAUGCCUGAGAAGCUACAUCUAAUUCAAAAUCCAUCACGGUGUAACUUGGAUUGUGCUUUUCUUCAUAUGUUUUCUUGUAUUUCUUGAAUUUUACACCACUAUGUUUCCUAAAAUUAAAAAAAAAUGGCUAUUCAACUUUAGUUUUGCACAUGAAUUCCCAAAUAACUUAUCUUCUUAGUUCUAAUCAACAUAAGAAUCCUGGGAGUGGGAACCACAUAAUGGAAUGUCAGAAAAGGAUAUUCUUUAAGUUUGGGCUGAUGCUUUAGCCCUAGAGGAGAAACAGCUUUUUUUCCUCCUUAGAAUGAGAAAACAUUCAAUCAUACAGAUGCCUGGUACUAAUGUCCAAUAGCAGAUUAAAUCCACAAUAACAAUAUUUUGUAUCUUCUAAUGAGCUUAAGCUGCUUUCUAAACAUAGGGAACUCUCUUUGAGAUGAGAGAGAAGUAACUCACUUUGAUGAGCUCAAUAAAUCAAUCAAUCAACACGGAUU